GGUAAUACGUUAACAUAGAGACAGAGUAAUCACUCAAGGGCGAGACAUGGCUGGAGGAGACAGGACACAUAAGCCUCCUUUGUCCAUGUAUGAAUGUUGCGCGGUUACUCUGUCCUCAUCUACCAACAAGCCAAAAUUUCUCGUCAGGUACGAUUACUAAUUCUCUGUUAUUACAAUUUCAUCAACGCAACAAUGAAAGGACAUAUGUACACACAGUAACACAAGAGACUUCAAAUGAUGAAGAGUCAUAGAACAAAGAGCAUUGCUGGAGCCAAUGUUUCGACAAGGAGAAUAAUACAAGUCCUCUUGUCAGCGUGUUGGCUCCAGUGACAUUUCUCGUUCUAUCACUAUUUACCGUUAAAAGGAACCAUUAUUGCUCUUGCUGAAGUAUUAUGCAUUAUGUAAUAAAAAUUGGCAGGGUGAAAGGUCAAGAAUGUGAAAGUUUUUCUGUAGUCUAAUGCUAGAUCCAAGACAGGCAGAGAAACAAGAAUAAGAUUUAGAGAAGCACUUUGUUAGCACUACCCAGUUGGCCAGCUUCAUUUGCAGCUUGCACUUUAUUGCAUUAAUAACCAUAGAAAUUAGUAAAUAAAUUAGCUUGAUUUACUUUUGUCAAGAGAUGCUCAACUUGGAUUAAGGCAGGUUAAAAAAUAUACAAUGACAUUUUAAGAUGGCAGGCUUGCAGUUGAUUAGCACACCACUUGGUGGCAUGAGCUCAGGUUCGGGUUGCACACUCUUUUUCGUCUUUGCUGGCAUUUUCAUAAACAUAACUUUGGCUUCGUUAUUGUUGGGGUUCUAGUGUUGUAGGAGCUAACUGUUUACCUUUUUUGUAUUAGUAACCACGUUACAUGGACAACUGCUGCAUUUUUGUAAAUUACGACAUGGUAGGACUUGAAACAUUUGUGCAAAUUUGUUGCAGGUAGAACUUGGCGGCUCCUGCUCCUGCCUUCCACCACCACCCUGUCCCGACUGCUUCCACUAGAGAGUUGGCAACCUUAGUGAUGAUGCCAAGCAGUCCGAUGGCAGACGGCAAGAUGCAGGUUGCUGCGAAAUUUUACCCGAGCUGGGCCACACACUUGAGCCAGGCCUCUUGGAAAGGAUGCCAUAAUCAGACUCCACGCGUCGAUGUCAGAGGAUGCCAGGGAUCAAGGCAACCUGUUGUGCCCCACUAUUCAAUGUUUGGUGACCCUUCUAUGUGUUUCACCUAUUUCGCAGCUGUACCUCGGCUGCCAUCUAUCCAAACAGCAUCGCCAGCUGUGCCCACUUGUUGAACCAUGGGCAAAUAUUGGCAUGGAGUGUUCCCUGGGCUUCAUGUUCUAUUUGCUCUUCAGGAUUCUUGGCAAAUACUCCUGUUAUAAGUUACAUGUUUUUAGUACCGACUUUUUAAUAUUUCCUUUCUCUUGGAAUUCUUAACAUCUCCUGCUAUUAUAUCUGUAUGUAUGCCCAGUUUCUCGUAGUUAUUUUGUACUUGUGUAUGUAAUUGAUAGGUUCUUAACUCUUGUAAUGCGUAAGGCUAAAACACUGACUUACAUCAUGUUUUGUUCAUUUAUUGAUCUGCAGCGCUGUAAAACGUUCAAGAAUUUUAACUCAACUAGUGCCCCAUAGCAGGAUAAAUUCAAGAGCAAAAUUGAGCACCUAUUUCAAGCACCUGUUAUUUUUUAAAAAGGAAAGAACGUAGGAGCAUGUAAAAAAACAGUAUUAUAGUAGGAAAACCUGGCUGCCCAUCAUAAGUGUCUUAAUAAUGUGACUUCCUUUCAGUGCAAUGAUACCAGUGGCACUGGUGGACAACGUUUGAGACAUGAAACCCAUGAUACGCUUGGCAUUCGUCAGUAUGGCAAAUAGGCUUGCCACACUUACGAAUGCCAACGGUACUGUAGGUUUCAUGCACACAUUGGUUGUGUUACACCUUAUGAGAAUUGCAUGUCUCGAACAUGAAGGUUUACAGCAGUGCUUUGAAUCACCACUAUAUUUCCUAAUUUUCAAUAUUUAUGAAUGCAAGAGUAAUGGUACAGAUCAUGUAAAAAUUAUUUUACAGGCUAUAUGCCUAUAGAUACACGCUUCUGAUGACACAGCACCGACAUGUGGUGGCGGGAUGUAUGUCUUUAUUUCAGAUUUAAAUAUUGCCUUCCAGGCCUGGGUUAGUCUACUACAUUGAGAGCCCAUGCACUAGAGGGAAGUGAAUUAAACUAAGAAUGAUAAACUUCAAAAUAUCUUGUUCGUGGCACUAAUUUGACAAUCAGCAAGGUUCUUUCUGCAUUCAUUUCCAAAUUUGUGAUAUAUUUUAUAUGACUCGUUUCAUUAAUGUGAGAACAAAUAUUUGUUUAUUGUCAACAUAGUUGAUGUUGCCCAUUUGCACACCAUUCCUUAACAGGCUAAAAAUUCAAUGUAAUAAUGGGGUGUUUAAGGUUUUGCGCACUCAGUGUUAAGGGACGCAAAUGGUGGCAUACAACAGAAUGCACGAAAGAACAAAAAAAUGCAAGUAGGACAUGGGGCUUUGGGGCAGAUGCUUUGGUGUGCUAUUUCUAAAACUCCCUGCGCUCUGCCUGAAUGCAUUGUCUAACGCUUUGGUAGAAUACAUUGGCAGCCACUUAUUCAGGUGAAAUGCUUCUCGAAACAACUUUUUAAAAUUAUUUCAGUGAGAGAUUUGAAAUAAUCCUGCUGCAUAUAGUUUUGUAUGCAGAUUUUAAGUAUGUCAAUGGUUUUUGUGUAGCUGCUAUAUUUUUUUAGUUAUGUCCUACACAGUGGCAAAGUAUCUGCGGGCACUUUAAUGUAUAUAACAGUUUCACAAGAAUGAUCGUGCUGUAUCUUAUUCAGCUCGUAGACCGCAAAGUGCCGAUAUCUACCCAAACAGCAUGUAAAAUUACUGAAACUAUGCAAAAAAUAGGACACUUGAAAUAAUUUUGAAAGAUAUUGCAAUUUCAAGUAGAUAUUAGCAUUCUAUAUACCUUAAGAGUAUGUAAGCCGAAUCUCGUUAGUAUCGGACAAAUGUAAGUGCACAAAGUUAUUUGCAUGGGAUUGUGAAAAAAUUAUUAAAGUGUACGGAGCUUUACUUGCAUAGUCCCACUAAGUUUACAUGUUUCGAUAGAUAUCGGCACUUUGUCAUCUACAAAGAGCUAAGUUAGCACAAUGGUUUUUGUGAAAAUUUAAUACAGAAGAAACUGCCCGCAAAGAUCAUAUACAUUGUGCCAUUGUUUAAGACAUAACUGAAGAAAUGUAGCAGCUAAACAAAAAUAACAUAUAUGAAAUCAGCUUGAAGAACCCUCUAAUUGGCUUAAUUUUCAAACCUCUAGUACAAAAAAUAAAAGAAAAUCAUUUUGAGUAGCAUUUCCCUUGAACACAAGAUUUAAUAAACAAAACGUGUCCCUUGCUAUAGUCGCCUUUAACAUAGUGACACAACUUCUAUAUAAUCACAUGAAGCGCUUUAGAUCACAAGAACUUUAUAUGAGUGACGUGCAAAUGCAUUUACUGAGAGUAAAUUACAGUCGUUACGUAAUCUGCUCUUAGGAUGACUUGUGAUGAGUAAAAGAAGCCUUCCUCAUGUCUCUACUUUCUGCAUGUGUCUUUCAGCUUUUUCUGUAUGUGUCUUUUACAGCUGCAUGUGUGCAGCUGAGUUCAGUUUAGUUACCACCUGGUCUGCUUCCUUCCUUGUCCUCAUGAUUCAUGCGCUAUCUUUGUCAUGCAAAAUACAGCUACCUGUGCUACAUAUUUUGCCAGCAUGAUUGAUUUAUGGCAAGUCUUGUAUUAGUGCGUAUUGCAAUCAGUGAAAUUGUUGGUGUCUUAAAAAACUUAGUCCUAAAAAACCAUGUUUAGGUCAACUUCAAUAAAAUGUUUAGCUUAAAUAUUGCUGUAUGUUUUUUGUAAUAUUGUCAGUUUUCAAGUUUGUAUCCACUGUUGCAGAUUGUAUGAAAGAAUAAAAUUGAUGCACAACUUU
Long non-coding RNA from Dermacentor silvarum, 3928 nucleotides. RefSeq lists it as uncharacterized. NCBI's taxonomy places the organism in Eukaryota, Metazoa, Arthropoda, Arachnida, Ixodida, Ixodidae. The transcript is spliced from 2 exons. The record is from RefSeq and is a predicted model, not a curated record.